This 31-nucleotide transfer RNA is filed under the name Drosophila hydei. Its description in RNAcentral is "partial tRNA-Met". The record is from RNAcentral. Lineage: Eukaryota; Metazoa; Arthropoda; Insecta; Diptera; Drosophilidae. RNAcentral also lists the same sequence under 77 other names.
AUUUAUAAAGGUUUUAAUCCUUUUCUUUUUA